Gallus gallus (chicken) is the source of this 4720-nucleotide long non-coding RNA. RefSeq lists it as uncharacterized. The record is from RefSeq and is a predicted model, not a curated record. The transcript has 4 exons. Lineage: Eukaryota; Metazoa; Chordata; Aves; Galliformes; Phasianidae.
GGGGCUGUGCCUGUGGGUUGCUCUGGCUGUUUGUUGGUGUUGAGUGGAAGGUUCUGGACACCAGGACACCUUUCAAGCAGUGUGAGGACUCCACUGAGGGCCUUUGUGGAUCCAGCAGGAAGCCACAGCCAGUGGUGGACACCAACAUCCACACUUGAUCGUGUCUGUCGGGCAAGCUCUUUUGCUCUCAGAGAGUGUUUUUGCUCUUCUGGCCAUUCGAUUGAAUUGGUGUCAGUUUCUACUUGUGCUCACUGGGCUUUCCAAGGGUGUUCUCCUUACUUGACACCACCUUUCCCAUUCUCUAUUUCCAAGCAGGAGCUCCCCUUGGCCUCCAUGUCUCGCUCUGGCCAGGCAGAUGUGGUGUGCCAACGGUACGUGGAGUCCAGACCCUGAGCAGAACAACAACUGAGGAGAGAGGCUGCCCUGGGUGAGACAGGAGAAGUGCCCCUUGAAGCGGGGGACGCUCCGCUGGCGCUGCCUCUCGCAUCCACCGGCAGCACAUUCCUUCUCUCUCCUUGGUGCCUGGCACUUUGCCAUCUCCCAGGGCUCACCAAGUCCAAAUAUUCCCUGAUGGAGUCCAUCUCCAGCUUGACCAGCACUCACCCGAUCUGUCCCCGCACCAGCUGGCUAAAGGCUCCCCAGCAUGGCUGGCUGUCGGUGCCUUCUGUCACUCCCAGUCAGCGUGGCUCAGUUCUUUGCCUUUUGGGUUCCAGAGUGUUUGCUACAGGUAUGGAGUGUUUCUCUUCUCUCUCUUCUUGUCUUCCAUGUAGCCCGUUGUUGCCUCGGUGGAGUUUCAGUGACCCAAAUGCAGACUGCUCUGUGUUGACCAAGUGUGAUGCCAAAAGAAGAGCUAGGCUUGAAAGCAGGCUGCUGGACGGGAGACUCCACCACCAGGAGCCGUUGUCAUUCCUGACCUCCCCGGGUUGCAGCAUUGGACGUGCCCUGAUCCUUGGGAAGGAGUUAGAGAGCUGUAUUUCGUUUUCAGAAGGUGGUCAUUACUUACCUUGUCUUGUGUCCAUCAGGUGGCAGUGGAGAGUUGUGACCCUCCCAAGCGGUGCAAGGGCUCUACUGAGGCUCUUGGUGGAUGCCGCAGGAACCCGCACGCACAGAUGGAUGCCAAGAUCUGCUCCUUCCUCUGUCUGGCAAGCUCUGCUGACCCCUGAGGUUGUUUCCAUACUUGCAGAGGUCCUACGGGCUUGGUGUAGGUUGUCGCUUGUGCUCACCUUGCUGUCACCGGGUGUUCUUCCUUUGUCCAUCAUAGGGGUCCCCCGUUCUGAUGGGAUCUCCGUGCCUUCUGUUGAUCCCAGAGUACUUCAAUUUGUUCUUUUAUUUUCAGGUUCUGUACCAUUUCAUGCUUUUGUGAUGUGUUUUUCUUCCUUUUGUUUUACAGGCUGGAAAUGUACACUUGGUUGGAUCUACGAUGACCCAAAUGCAAUCUAUUUAGGUUAGGCCAUGUGUGGUGGGAAAGGAAGAGGUAGGCUCCUAAGCAAAAUUCUGGUGAGGGCUGUGUUUCAUUUGGGGUUUUCUGGGAUGCCCGCUACUCCUCCCUACCCCAUUUUGUUCAUUACUGUGUGUGAAGGAUUCUUUUUUCCUUCUAGGAUUGGGGACACCAGCACCAGAUGCUGUUGCACUUCCUGACCUCCCUGGGUGACAGCGUUGGAAGUGCCUGCACGCUUGGAAAGGGCUAAGUGAUUCCUUCAUCAUUACCAGAAUGUAGUCUGUGUUCAACAGGUGAUGGUGGAGAACUGUGGCCUUCUGCUCAGCGCAAAAAGUCUACUGAGGAUCUAGGUGGAUAGAACAGGAGUGCAGAGCCAUAGGUGGACGCCAAGAUGCACUCCUUCCUCUGUCUGGCAAGCUCUGCUGACCCCUGAGGUCGUACCCACGCUUGCAGAGGUCCUAUGGGUUUGGUGUAGGUUGUGCCUUGUGCUCACUUGGCUUUCACCGGGUGCUGUUGCCUUAUAAUAUUUUUCCCAUUCUCUAUUUCCAAGCAGGAGGUCCCCUUGGCCUCCGUGUCUCGCUCUGGCCAGGCAGAUGUGGUGUGCCAACGGUACGUGGAGUCCAGACCCUGAGCAAAAGAACAGCUGAGGAGAGAGGCUGCCCUGGGUGAGACAGGAGAAGUGCCCCUUGAAGCGGGGGACGCUCCGCUGGCGCUGCCUCUCGCAUCCACCGGCAGCACGUUCCUUCUCUCUCCUUGGUGCCCGGCGCUUUGCCAUCUCCCAGGGCUCGCCAAGUCCAAAUAUUCCCUGAUGGAGUCCAUCUCCAGCUUGACCAACACUCACCCGGUCUGUCCCCGCACCAGCUGGCUAAAGGCUCCCCAGCAUUGCUGGCUGUCGGUGCCUUCUGUCACUCCCAGUCAGCAUGGCUCAGUUCUUUGCCUUUUGGGUUCCAGAGUGUUUGCUACAGGUAUGGAGUGUUUCUCUUCUCUCUCUUCUUGUCUUCCAUGUAGCCCGUUGUUGCCUUGGUGGAGUUUCAGUGACCCAAAUGCAGACUGCUCUGCGUUGACCAAGCACGAUGCCAAGAGAAGAGGCAGGCACCAGAACAGGCUGCUGGUGAAUGCUGUGCGUGCCUUGGGGUUCUUAGAAUGACUUGCGUUCCUCCCUAACCUGUGUUGUUCAGUACUACUAUUGAGGGUUUUAACUUUGAUUCUAGGAUAGGAGACUCUGCUGUCAGAUGGCGUUGCCUGUUCUUCUCUCCCCAGUUUGCAGAGUUGGAUGUGACCUCAGCAUUGGUUAAGGGGUAAGUGAUUCCUUCACCCUGACCAGAAGGUAAUCUCUACUUGUCUUGUGCUGUGUGGAACAGGUUGCAGUGGAGAAGUGCAGUUGUCCGGGGUGCUGCAAGGACUCUAUUGAGGCAUUUGGUGGACGCAGCAGGAACCCACAGCCAGAGAUGGACGCCAAGAUGCACUCCUUCCUCUGUCUGGCAAGCUCUGCUGACCCCUGAGGUCGUUCCCACGCUUGCAGAGGUCCUACGGGCUUGGUGUUGGUUGUCGCUUGUGCUCACCUUGCUGUCACCGGGUGUUCUUCCUUUACCCAUCUUUAGGGCUCCCCAGUUCUGAUGGGAUCUCCGUACCCUCUGCUGAUCCCAGAGAACAUGGGUUUGUUCUCUUAUCUUCAGAUUCAGAAUGUUUUCCUGCUGUUAUGCGAUGUCUGUCUUAGUUUUUAUUUUUUUUCUGGGCUGCCUAUUGAUACAUCCUCAGUCUGCAAUAAACCAAAUGAUUUCUGGUAAGGUUUGACCAAGUGAGAUGGAAAAUGAAGUGGUAAGCUCCAAAACAGGCUUGCAUAUUGGAGACUUAUCCACCACAUGGUGAUGCCUUUCCUGACCUCCUUGAUUGCAGUGUUGGAUGUGCCCUGAUCCUUGGAAAGGGGUGAGUGAUUCCUGCAUCCUUACUAGAAGGUAAUCUCUACUUACUUUUUCUUGUGUCCAACAGGUGGCACUGGAGAGUUGUGACCCUCCUAAGCAGUUCAAGGACUCUACUGAGGCUCUUGGUGGACUCAGCAGGAACCCACACCCAUAGGUGGGAUGCCAAUAUCUAUUCCUUCCUCUGUCUGGCAAGCUCUGGUGUCCCUUGAGGUUGUUCCCGUGCUUGUUGAGGUCCUAUGGACUUGUUGGUUUUCCCUUGUGCUCACUGGGCUUUCCAAGGGUGUUCCUCUUGCUUGACACCACCUUUCCCAUUCUCUAUUUCCAAGCAGGAGGUCCCCUUGGCCUCCGUGUCUCGCUCUGGCCAGGCAGAUGUGGUGUGCCAACGGAUCAAAGCCUUCAGAAUCCAACCAAAAGAAAUGGGGAGAGAGGCUGCCCUGGGUGAGACAGGAGAAGUGCCCCUUGAAGCAGGGGACGCCCCGCUGGCGCUGCCUCUCGCAUCCACCGGCAGCACGUUCCUUCUCUCUCCUUGGUGCCCGGCGCUUUGCCAUCUCCCAGGGCUCGCCAAGUCCAAAUAUUCCCUGAUGGAGUCCAUCUCCAGCUUGACCAGCACUCACCCGGUCUGUCCCUGCACCAGCUGGCUAAAGGCUCCCCAGCAUUGCUGGCUGUCGGUGCCUUCUGUCACUCCCAGUCAGCAUGGCUCAGUUCUUUGCCUUUUGGGUUCCAGAGUGUUUGCUACAGGUAUGGAGUGUUUCUCUUCUCUCUCUUCUUGUCUUCCAUGUAGCCCGUUGUUGCCUUGGUGGAGUUUCAGUGACCCAAAUGCAGACUGCUCUGCGUUGACCAAGCACGAUGCCAAGAGAAGAGGCAGGCACCAGAACAGGCUGCUGGUGAAUGCUGUGCGUGCCUUGGGGUUCUUAGAAUGACUUGCGUUCCUCCCUAACCUGUGUUGUUCAGUGCUACUAUUGAGGGUUUUAACUUUGAUUCUAGGAUAGGAGACUCUGCUGUCAGAUGGCAUUGCCUGUUCUUCUCUCCCCAGUUUGCAGAGUUGGAUGUGACCUCAGCAUUGGUUAAGGGGUAAGUGAUUCCUUCACCCUGACCAGAAGGUAAUCUCUACUUGUCUUGUGCUGUGUGGAACAGGUUGCAGUGGAGAAGUGCAGUUGUCCGGGGUGCUGCAAGGACUCUAUUGAGGCAUUUGGUGGACGCAGCAGGAACCCGUAGCCAGAGAUGGACGCCAAGAUGCACUCCUUCCUCUGUCUGGCAAGCUCUGCUGACCCCUGAGGUCGUUCCCACACUUGCAGAGGUCCUACGGGCUUGGUGUUGGUUGUCGCUUGUGCUCACCUUGCUGUCACCGGGUGUUCUUCCU